This 1275-nucleotide long non-coding RNA is filed under the name Populus trichocarpa (black cottonwood). Its description in RNAcentral is "long non-coding RNA (PTRI_LNC000957)". Lineage: Eukaryota; Viridiplantae; Streptophyta; Magnoliopsida; Malpighiales; Salicaceae. The record is from RNAcentral.
AUGAAUGUUAUUGAUGAAUAUUAUUAGUGAGAGGUGCUUUUGCCUUAAUAUCUACCGUUGCCGGGAGAGGUCACCAAACAAAUAAUAGAAUUGGGAAUCAAACUUGUUUAUGCUUCAAAUGAUUAAAUUAUAAAUUAACUAACAAUUCCUCUCGUAACACUAACAACUUACAACUAACGGAGUGUAUAUGGCUUAGAAAAAUAAUCUCAAAGACGAGUCCGGAUACAGAUCUCGAGUAGGGGUGUUUAAAAAAACUGACCAACCGAUUAAACCGAAAAAAAAUUAACCGAAAAAACCGAACCGAUUAAAAAAACCGAAAAAACCGAUUAAAAAAUAAAAAAAUCACCCGGUCCGGUUCGGUUCCGGUUUAAAACAGCUUAAACUGAUUGAACCGGACCAAACCGAACCAGUUUAAAAAAAAGGUAUAAAAACAACAUUUACUAACCCUAAUAUCACUUUUCUCCUUUCCAGCCGCCACCCCCCCUCCUCCCUUUCCAACCUUCCCUUCCUUUCCCUUUCCCCUUCCCCUUCCCCCUUCCCCCUUUCCCCUUUCCCCAAAAGCAAGUGAACAAUGGUUAUCCAAGCUCUCCUUAUAGAUCGUAAGACAUCCCUUUUGGCUAAUUUAUCUUGUUUCUCCUUGUAUCUUGUUUUCAAGGAACAUGGGUUUCCAUGGGGGUAUAUUCUGAUGGAUCUUAUGGGAUUCAACCUGGCCUUAUAUACUCUUUCCCGGUUACCUGCGAGAAGGGCAAAUGGUCAAUUGUGCAGGGUAAUCUAUACUUCCUUUUACUUUCUCAUUAGAGACUGAGUCCUCUGGUUAUGACAAUGUCAGGACUCAAGAUUGACGAGUUCUCGAGGGCGAAGAUGGAUGCAACAACAAAAGAGCUUGUGGAGGAGAAAUCGUUAGCCUAUUCAGGGCUUCUAGGAGUUAUUUUCUUCUAGGAGUUAUUUUAUUAUGUCAAAAUUGUAUAGUUUGAUUAUUAAUAUACAAAUAUUUCUUAACAUCAUCUGAAAGGAACAAUGGUUAUCACUGUUACUAUAGAACAGUCCGGUUUUCUGGUUUUUUUGGCUAAAAAACCGACCCGAACCGAACAAAACCGGUUUGGUUUGAACCGGUUCUCGGUUCAGUCCGGGUUGUAUUAAUAAAGAAUAUUAUUUUCCGGUUUGGUUGUAUUUUUUAGUUAAAACCAGACCAUGAACACCUCUAAUCUCGAGUACAGUUUUAUGGGAAACAAGGCACACCAGCCACAUACGUAGAUGAGUUGGAAAUUUGUAUGA